Molecule: transfer RNA, 75 nt
Filed under: Nitrososphaeria archaeon
Lineage: Archaea; Thermoproteati; Nitrososphaerota; Nitrososphaeria
Also listed under: 2 other names
Description: tRNA-Thr
Rfam family: tRNA
About the family: Transfer RNA (tRNA) molecules are approximately 80 nucleotides in length.
Source: RNAcentral
GCCCCGGUAGCAUAGCUCGGUCAAUGCGCCCGCCUUGUAAGCGGGAGACCGCGGGUUCAAAUCCCGCCCGGGGCU